RNAcentral lists this ribosomal RNA (253 nucleotides) under uncultured bacterium. RNAcentral describes it as "partial 16S ribosomal RNA". It matches the Rfam family "Bacterial small subunit ribosomal RNA", at positions 524 to 776 of the family's 1533-position model. The record is from RNAcentral.
UACGGAGGGGGCUAGCGUUGUUCGGCAUUACUGGGCGUAAAGCGUACGUAGGCGGCUUUGUAAGUUAGAGGUGAAAGCCUGGUGCUCAACACCAGAACUGCCUUUAAGACUGCAUCGCUUGAAUCGCGGAGAGGUGAGUGGAAUUCCGAGUGUAGAGGUGAAAUGCGUAGAUAUUCGGAAGAACACCAGUGGCGAAGGCGGCUCGCUGGACGCGUAUUGACGCUGAGGUACGAAAGCGUGGGGAGCAAACAGG